GGGGACGUAGCGCAAUGGUAGCGCGUCUGAUUCCAGCGUUUAUCAUAACUUGGAGCUUCCAGAAGGUUGGGCGUUCGAUUCGCCUCGUCCUCA
This 93-nucleotide transfer RNA is filed under the name Eutypa lata. RNAcentral describes it as "tRNA-Trp". It matches the Rfam family "tRNA". From Rfam's summary of the family: Transfer RNA (tRNA) molecules are approximately 80 nucleotides in length. Their secondary structure includes four short double-helical elements and three loops (D, anti-codon, and T loops). Further hydrogen bonds mediate the characteristic L-shaped molecular structure. tRNAs have two regions of fundamental functional importance: the anti-codon, which is responsible for specific mRNA codon recognition, and the 3' end, to which the tRNAs corresponding amino acid is attached (by aminoacyl-tRNA synthetases). tRNAs cope with the degeneracy of the genetic code in two manners: having more than one tRNA (with a specific anti-codon) for a particular amino acid; and 'wobble' base-pairing, i.e. permitting non-standard base-pairing at the 3rd anti-codon position. Lineage: Eukaryota; Fungi; Ascomycota; Sordariomycetes; Xylariales; Diatrypaceae. RNAcentral also lists the same sequence under 1 other name. The record is from RNAcentral.